AGGUGCGAUCAUACCAGUACUAAUGCACCGGAUCCCAUCAGAACUCCGCAGCUAAGCGUGCUUGGGCGAGACUAGUACUAGGAUGGGUGACCACCUGGGAAGUCCUCGUGUUGCACCUC
RNAcentral lists this ribosomal RNA (119 nucleotides) under Vigna angularis (adzuki bean). Lineage: Eukaryota; Viridiplantae; Streptophyta; Magnoliopsida; Fabales; Fabaceae. The record is from RNAcentral.